Canis lupus familiaris (dog) is the source of this 2031-nucleotide long non-coding RNA. RefSeq lists it as uncharacterized. The transcript has 8 exons. The record is from RefSeq and is a predicted model, not a curated record. Lineage: Eukaryota; Metazoa; Chordata; Mammalia; Carnivora; Canidae.
UUAAGGGAACACCCCAAAAUUUGCACAUAUCACAUCUGCCCAUACCCCAUUGGUCAGAAUUUGGUUUUCUACAAGGGAAACUGGGAAGUAGGUUUUAUUCCAGUCAGCCCUGUGCCCAGUUAGAAAUCAAGAGUACCUAUGGUUAUUGAAAAUUAGAAUGGAUAUUCUCAUUCUGGGUUCAGUGAGGUACCCCUAACAAAGAAAGAACCUUACACUAUGAAAGAGUUUAACAGGGAGUCCUAAUCCAGAUUAUGGAGUCAGGAAACUAUCUCAGAGAAAGUGAUAGUGAAGCUGAGAUCUGAAAAUGUAAUUAAUAAUCAUAGUGACGACAUUUGCUACUUAGUGCUUACCAAGCAGCGGGCGUUCUUCUAGGGUGAUACUUGCUUUAGGGUGACUGUUGAGGUUUUAGAACUGCAAGUCCAGCAUCCUGGGAAACCCCUCCGUCUGGGGCAAACUGGAGGGUUGGCACUGUGCUGGUGCCGUUGUUACCAUCCACACUUUACAGAAAAGGAAACCAAGGCAUGAAAAGGGCAAAGGGGAUGGUGUUCCACAAGACAGAACUGCGUGUGCACGAACCCUGAAUCAGCAAAAGGUCCGGUACAUUCAAAGAGUGAAUGCCUGUGUCGCUGGCAUUUACUGAAUGUGCAGGAGGUUGGGCCAAGUGAAGGUGGAGAGGAGCCAGGCACCACUCCGCCCACAGAGGUACAUCUUCUGAGUGCCCGAGCAUGGUGUUUGCACUUCCCUUGGCAGUGAUUGGUCCAGGGCAGUGCAUGUGUCCCUGCUCUGGCCAACGGCACUUAGGAAAAAGUCUCCCAUGGGGCUUCUGAGAAAUUCGCCUCGCUAAUAAAGAGUGUAAGCCUCAGAAACCUUGCAGCUUCCACUUUCCCUGUCUCGAACACGUCUCCGAGUCUUCUAUGUGAGGAAGUUGGUCUAACCUACUAGAGGGUAAGAGGUCACAGGGAGGAAAACGAGAGCCAAGACCAACUGACAGCCGUGUGAAUGAGGCCAGCUUGGACCUUUGGGCCCAUCAUAUCAGCAGAACGCUACCAUGUGACCGAGGCCAGGUGCUACAAGGUCUGCACUCACCAUCUUGGGAUCCCCACCCACACCUCACCCGUCACCUGCAGCUGGGUGUGUGAGCAGCCCCAGGGAGAGGCCCGUGCGGCAAAGAACCCAAGCCUCCUGCCUGCCAGCAGUCACGGGUGAGCUUGGAAGUGGAUGUGCAGCCCCUGCCGACGGCCGCGCCCCAGCUGACAACUUCCCUGUGGCUGCAGGAGAGACACUGUGCCAGAGCCACCCAGAGCCACCCAGCAAAGCCACUUCCUGACCCCUGGCCCUCAAAAACCAUAUGAGCACCUGGCCAAGUGCCCGGCGUUGGGAGGUGUUCGGUGUAGUAUGCUGAGAGCCAUGUUUUCUGGCACUGGAAACAAGACACCUGGUUGUGCAGUGUGUGCAGUGCACAAACACGCUGGGCCAAGGGGCUACCUACUGAAAACAACCAACCAACCAUUUUGAGGAUAUCAUUGCUAGAUUGGGAACACCCUGAGGAAAGGAAAUAAGUCUCAAUCUUGUGUUUAUCCCAUGGCUUUUAUAGCAGGGGAAGGAACACAGGCCUGAACCUUGGGAUCUUUGUUGACGCUUCCCAUCAGUCAUCCCACCACUAUUUAUGGAGCAGCUAAUAAGGACCACGUGUCGGGGUUAAAGAAUGAAUGAAACACAAUCCCCGCUCCCAAAGAGCAUACCGGUUGGUCGUCCGAGGCACGCGGUGGCAUUCAUUCCUCAUGUAUCUCUCCCCGUAGCUCUCUUCCGAGUGUCUGGUGCAGGCCCUCACCGCCUGGACAGCGGUCUUGUAAGUGGUCCCUCUGGGGAUGGCCGAACCUCAGGUCACCAUCUCACAGCCGCCACCAGAUGAGAUCGAGCCCCGCGUCGGGCUCCUUGCUCACUGAGGAGCCGGCCUUGGAUUCUUUCUUCCUCCUCCUCUGCCCCUCCCACUCACUCUCAGUCUCUAAGAAAUAAAUAAAAUCUUAAAAA